AUUCUUCUUCUUCUUCUUAUUUUUUCGCCAGCCCCUGCACGACGGAGUCGGUCCAGGCAGCUUCGAUGGUAACCCUGAAAGUGCCCAGGACGGUAGUGGUUGGUGCUGGAAAAGUCCGUGGGCCCCACCAUGAUUUAUUUCUUAUCCACUAUGUCUAUCCCUUUUGCUAGGUCAUUUUAGGGCAUUGGCCCAAAAAUGAGGGAAAUCCAAAUCUUAGUUGGACCACACCACAGGAAACAGUGGUGACUGGUGAUUGAAUGCAGGCCAUUUAAAACUUCCGCCGUAAUGUUUAUUUGCCAUCUGUUGAUUAGGCUACACAGACACGGAUGAAGGGAAAACACAAAUAUCAGCUUGAUCCAAUCCAACACUUUCGUGGCCCCCACAAAGUUUUUAAUUGUGAGCGUUCAAACACCCUUGUUUCCUGUGAUGUGGUCUACCCAAGAUUUGGAUCUCCCUCAAUUUUGGGUUCAUGACCUAAAAUGAUCUGGAAAAAUGGAUGGAUGGUGUGGAUACAAUCCAUACAUCAUAGUGGAGCCCACAACCCCAAAAAAAUUAUGGAUUAUUUUAUUUUAUUUUAUUUUGUCUUCUAAUAAAAUCCAUACAUCAUGGUGGGUCCACAUCCUGAUUUGACCUUUUUUUUGGGGCCCACAAAUUUGGAACCAUGUGGUUAGAAUGGUUCUAUUUGGGGGAGAACUUGUUUUGACUCACACUUGAAAGAUCGUUUGGGUGGGUUAGCUUUAUUGUUUACUAUUGCCUAAAAAGGUGUCCCUAGUGGAGGGCCCGACCCCUCAACAACUGUGCAGUAAAUAGGCAAAAAGAUAACAAGUAUAAUUUGAACAUAAGUUUCCAUGUAUUGGAGGGCCUUUUCAAAAUCCGUAAUGGUUGUUUCUCUAACAUCAGGUUACCAUGUCAGAUGAUUCCGUUUCUCGCACAGAUUGCUCCAUCUCAGAAGUAUCCGACAUUUCAAAUGGUGAUGCGGGUAUGGAUUACAUUAUAUUAGUUGUGGCAGUUGUUGCUGGUACGAUGGUAGCAAAUUGCUAUCAAGAAAAUUAUACAAUAAAAGAUUCACAAGAACAUUGACGAGAUUGGACAUGCACUUAGUCUGCAAAUGCAAUUGUUAAGGGUUUAUGAUCUACAGGCACUUAGUUGGGUGAUGACUACUUCUCAGAGGAGAUAUAUCUGCAAGUUGAACAAGCUAGGGGAAUUGCUCCAAAUGUGGGAGUGUUAGCUCUAGUAUGUAAGAAGAAAAAGAAGUACUCCCCAAGGGGGUAAUGCAAAAAUUGGAUCGCCUAUGCGACGCAAUCGGGGAAUAUAGCUGGAGGGAGAGGAAUUUGCCGGUACAAGUGUGGAAGGAGUUGAAAAAUCUCACAACCAUUGAUAACGAUAUGAUGUGGAAGGCCGCCAACUAUCUUGCAAGGUGAAGAAUGGUUUCUCAAAUGCACAACAAAGAAAGGAAGCUCGAGCUAUGCACAUUCUUCUUAAAGUAUUUUUUGCUCAUGUCCCAAGUUGCUGUCAGAAUUACUUCCAUUAUGCAUCUUAACAUUACAGCUGAUGAUAGGCCAAGAAUUGCACCUGUUUGGACUGAGUUGGUUCAAGAUGAAGGCUCUAAAAGGGUGGGGGGAAGGCACAAAAGGAUGUGUGUGGAGGUAGUAAGAAAAGACUUGAAGACCUAUGGUUUAACCGAGGAUAUGGUCCGUGGUAGAGUGGAAUGGCGGAAUAGAAUUUCUGUAGUUGACCCCAAUUAGUUUGGACAAGGCUUAGAUGAUGAUGAUGAUGAAACGAAGAGUUUUUGCUAGACUAUUCAUGUGGGCUGGUUUGGGAAAACCCUUGAAGUUUUUUGGAGAUUUGUGCUCUAAAGUGAUUAGCCCUUCAUCCUUAUUAAGAUAGGGCUUUCUAUUCUCUUGAAAGGAUUUGUUGAAGUUUUUCAUGUGAACACAGGGCUUGAACUUGUCUAUUCAGGUGUUGCAGCUACUGAUUGUCUGCAGGUUUUAACGGACAUCAUUUGAUGAUGCCAAAAGGUGAAGAAAGGUUUCUCAAAUGCACAACAAAGAAAGGAAGCCCAAGCAUGGACAUUCUUUUUGAAGUAUUUCUUGCUCAUGUCCCAGUCAACCAACAUAAAUGUCCGGCCAAAAUAUAUGUUUGUUGCUGUAAAAAAAUACAUCCAUUUUGUGUCUCAACAUAAUUGCUGAUGAGAGACCAAGAACUGCACUGGUUACAAGUGAGUGGGUACAAGCUGAAGGCUCUAAAAGGGCAAGGGGAAGCUCAAAAGGAUGAGCACUAUAGGUGGAGGUAGUAAGAAAUGACUUGAGGACCUAUGGUCCUAUGGUUUAAUUGUGGAUCUAAUUUGUAAUAGAGUAGAAUGGUGGAAUAGAACCCUCGUAGCUGACCCCAAUUAGUUGGGAUCAAUGUUUGCAGUAUCGGUAUCGUGUUAUGUAUCACACUUAUGGGAUAUAGUUAUGUAUCGGCUAUUGCCCAAGAUAUAUCGUUUGUAUCGGGUAAUUUAUUGCACUUUUUGAGAAACACGGGGAAAAAUUGGGAAAUUGGUUAAAAUUUUCAAUGAAACCUUAGGUAUUGCAAAAAAAAAAAAAAAAACCUUAAUACAUGACAUAGUGGGUGCACUUUCAAAUCAUAUCUAAAAAAAACGUGCACAUAAUAGGUUACCUUUGUACAGGGUCCUAACAUGCGUUGUCUGACUGAACAAAUGCAACUAUAUUCGAAUUGAAUUCAUAACAUUUAUAAAUGUAAGAAGACAUGAAAACAUAACCAAUCAUUCAAAAACAAAAGAAGUAGAAAUUGAGAAAUAUACUUAUGAAUGAUGUUAUUGGUUGUGGCCUAGACCGACAUAGAGCUAUAUGGUGGCUCGUAAUCAUCAUCUCCAUCUCGACGGGGUUGUGAAUAAUAUUGUUGCUCAAUAAAUCAACAGUACUAUGGCCAGGUCAUGGUAAAAUGGUACCAGUUAAGAUACUCCCUAACAUAACGCUGGUACCCAUCCUCUCUGAAUUGAACCAAUACAUCCAUCCGUGAGUACUGUGUAAUCGUCAAUCUAUGACUGAUAUGGAUUUUGGAUGGGCAUUGAUGGAGCUCUUGGGCAUCUAUAUUGCUGGCCAUAUACAUAUUGCCGCCCAUAUCCUUGCACGUAUGCAUUAGUGAUGUGCCGUAAUUGUUAAGAGUCGCUCGCUGCAUAUCCAUUAGGUCCAUAUCCAUACCCCAAAAUUCUCCUAUUUUGGAAUACCUUAUCCACCAAUCUUGACCUUUUUGUGUUUAAUGUGGACCAUUUGUUGCACUUUUCUUGCAGGUCUCAAUUUGAAAGGUUAGGAUUGUCCCUUUGAGGAGAUUUUGGAGCAUGGUCCAUCUACAGUGGCUUCCAACAGACUAAUGGUACGGAUCACACUCCAUCAUGGGACCCACUUGUGCAAACUGAAAGCCAAAGCAUACCAUGGAUAUCCUCUGGGUCGAGUAGUCUGUAAUUCCUCUUCAACCUGGCCUUCUAAUGAUCACCUGAAUAUUAUGAAUUUGUUGCUAUUGUCCAAAUUUUAGGAUUAGCAGUUGGAUUGGCAGUCGGUGGUCAUCAAUCCUGGUGGCCGUAGUUUGGUUACUAUAUUUGAACUUUUGGCCGUUCUAUUCUAACCAUUCAUUUGAUGGCCGCCAAUCAGUAUGAUUUCCUGGCAAUGCUCCAUAUACUGUGGGCCCCAUGAUUUAAAUGGGUCUAGAUUUAAACUCAGAGGCCCCAGAUUAUAGUCCUUGUUUCUCUUGAUGCAGUUGUUGGUGAUGGAUUCAGUUCUCCUGCAUGGAUUGCAUUUGUCCAUCAACAGACUGGGACCCACCAUACAAGACAAGCUAAAGCCAAGACUUGCUAAGGGAAUAGUGGGACACACAACACAGAGGACAAGUGGGCCCAUGCUUCUGUAAUCCAGACCAUUCGCCUGUUGUGUUCCUACCAUGUAUGGACCAUUCUCCAAGAUCAGGCUGAUUGGAAGAUUCCAGCCAGUGCUGUCAUCACCACGCCAUGGUCUUUCUUUAGUUGAAUUGGGCGUUAGCUCUGUUUAUUUUUCUUAACUGUCAAUUUCUGUGCUGCCAAUUGAAAAGGUAAGAUUGUCCUGUUGAGGAGAAAUUUGGCAGGGUCCAUCCAAGUAGAAUGCAACAGAUAAGUUUCCAGACCUGACCUCAACCUGUUAAUGUGAGCUGUUCAGUCCAAUCUGUCAGGCCUGCUAGGCUUGGAAACCUCCUCCCCAUUUCAUAUUUCCAAACUCCAAAGCUCAACUUGACUCAAUGUCUAGUUGGGUCAGGUCGACUUGAAGACUUGACUGAGUCUUUUCCUGACCCAACUCAAUAUUUUGUAUUUUAACAGAAGUUUAAAAUGUCUGGAAAUGGUAAAAUAACCAAAAUAAUGUAGUUCCGUUGUUUUAUGUACUGUUAGCAGGCAGAUAGGGUCACUGGGGAGGUCGCGGGUUCAGAUCUGCCCCUUUGUUUUUCAAAAAGAAAAUCUAUUGACUGGGUGAGUGACUCAGUUGAGUCUCCCCAAGUUGUAUUGAGUCGACCGAGUUUCCAUACUGAAUCAACUGAAUCUUGUUUUGAGUCUUGACCAAGUCAAGCUCAUCAGCAAGUUUGCAAGAGAUUCAGCUUGAAAUCACGCCGAAUUGAGUUCAAAGUUUUGAGUCGACCUACCAAGUUUUGGAACUAUGCUUCUUAAGACAAAACCCAGAGAGAAUUAGAACUAAAUCGGCUGUUAGACCUGUGGUUAAGAGUCAUUAGUUCUCAAUUAGAGCUCUUGGGUUCCAUCUUUCAUAGGCUCUAAUGAAACCCAGCUCAUUCCAGUCCAAACUGGUACAACCACUUGGGUCUGUUUAGAUUACUAGGGUGCAACAAUUAUCCAUGAAUAGAGAAAUUUGAAGGGUAGUUCAAGGAGAAGAGUAGAUGCAAUAGGAAGACUGUUAGUUGGGCAAAAGAAGAAGAAACCUUAGGACUCAAGGAAACAUCUCAUUUUAUAUAAACAGGAAAUCUUCAAGCAUUGUAGAAUACAGUUACAUAAGCUUCCUAGCGAGCCUUUUCACCUUAAUCUUGAGUUUUUUUUCUCUCUCUCUUUCUUUGUUCUUUUUGUUCACACUGUAGGGGUGUUUUAAGGUAUGGGACCAGGUGGGGGUGGUGGGCCGGGAGGACCCGGACCUGGUUGGGGUGGUGGGCCAGGAGGAUCGGGGCCAGGUUGGGGUGGUGGACCUCCAGGAUGGGGACCUGGCGGGCCCGGGUGGGGACCUGGUUUUGGUGGUUUUGGGGGUGGUUUGUGCAGCAUAUUAUCUUCAUGCUUCUACUUCCUGUGCUGUUGUUGCCUGUUACAAGAGUGCUGCGGACCGUUGUUCGGUGGGCCGCGUGGACCUGGUGGCCCACCUGGCCCUGGCUUCUGAGAUGGUAUUUCUAAGAAAUGGGUUUUAUCUAAUAACAUGAAAUGUAGUGGAUGAUCUAUGUCCCAUCGUAUUUUGCUUCAUUGUAUUUUAGAUGUUUAAUGGAUGGUCUGGAUCUCAUGGCCUCAUCCAUGAUCAUGUGA
Molecule: long non-coding RNA, 5539 nt
Organism: Magnolia sinica
Lineage: Eukaryota; Viridiplantae; Streptophyta; Magnoliopsida; Magnoliales; Magnoliaceae
Exons: 5
Source: RefSeq, a predicted model, not a curated record